Molecule: transfer RNA, 73 nt
Filed under: Spirochaetota bacterium
Lineage: Bacteria; Pseudomonadati; Spirochaetota
Description: Spirochaetes bacterium tRNA-OTHER
Rfam family: tRNA
About the family: Transfer RNA (tRNA) molecules are approximately 80 nucleotides in length. Their secondary structure includes four short double-helical elements and three loops (D, anti-codon, and T loops).
Source: RNAcentral
GUACCAAUGGCUUAAUGGUAAAGCACUUCCUUUUAAGGGAGAGAUCCAUGUUCGACUCAUGGAAGGUACACCA